This 89-nucleotide transfer RNA is filed under the name bacterium. RNAcentral's name for it is "tRNA-Ser". It matches the Rfam family "tRNA". Rfam says of the family: Transfer RNA (tRNA) molecules are approximately 80 nucleotides in length. Their secondary structure includes four short double-helical elements and three loops (D, anti-codon, and T loops). The record is from RNAcentral.
GGAGAGGUGGCCGAGUGGCUGAAGGCAACGGUUUGCUAAACCGUUAAAGGGGUUAAACCCUUUCGCGAGUUCGAAUCUCGCCCUCUCCG